GCCUGGGUAGUUUAAUUGGUUAAGCAUCUGACUUCGGCUCAGGUCAUGAUCUCUUGUGAGUUCGAGCCCCGCGUCAGGCU
RNAcentral lists this transfer RNA (80 nucleotides) under Felis catus (domestic cat). It matches the Rfam family "tRNA". Rfam says of the family: Transfer RNA (tRNA) molecules are approximately 80 nucleotides in length. Their secondary structure includes four short double-helical elements and three loops (D, anti-codon, and T loops). Lineage: Eukaryota; Metazoa; Chordata; Mammalia; Carnivora; Felidae. The record is from Rfam by way of RNAcentral.